GCACAACGCGAAGAACCUUACCUACUCUUGACAUCCAGAGAACUUAGCAGAGAUGCUUUGGUGCCUUCGGGAACUCUGAGACAGGUGCUGCAUGGCUGUCGUCAGCUCGUGUUGUGAAAUGUUGGGUUAAGUCCCGCAACGAGCGCAACCCUUAUCCUUUGUUGCCAGCGGUUAGGCCGGGAACUCAAAGGAGACUGCCAGUGAUAAACUGGAGGAAGGUGGGGUAUGACGUCAAGUCAUCAUGGCCCUUACGAGUAGGGCUACACACGUGCUACAAUGGCGCAUACAAAGAGAAGCGACCUCGCGAGAGCAAGCGGACCUCAUAAACGUGCGUCGUAGUCCGGAUUGGAGUCUGCAACUCGACUCCAUGAAGUCGGAAUCGCUAGUAAUCGUAGAUCAGAAUGCUACGGUGAAUACGUUCCCGGG
RNAcentral lists this ribosomal RNA (426 nucleotides) under uncultured bacterium. RNAcentral describes it as "bacterial SSU rRNA". It matches the Rfam family "Bacterial small subunit ribosomal RNA", at positions 954 to 1378 of the family's 1533-position model. The record is from RNAcentral.